UCAAAAUUGAGCUGAUUUGUUUUUUUUUUGACCCGCUAACCCAUCAUUUCAAAUCCCUAGAUUGUUGAGAAUCAAAUUGGAUAAAAAUGGUGAAAUUUGGAAGAAUACUUCUGAAAGAUGGGAUUAACAAGAAGCUCCUCGAAAUUCUUGUCUGUCCACUUUCUAAGCAACCUUUGAGGCUUUGCGAGAAGACGAAUUCUCUAAUCAGUGAUGCAAUUGGUGUUUCAUAUCCGAUAGUCGAUGGGAUUCCUCGUCUUGUACCAACGGAUGGCAAGAUUAUCGAGACUGAUGAUGCAUCACAUUCUGAUGGCUCUGUUGAUUUGCCUGGUAAAUGAACUGAUGAUCAAAGAGGUAGUUCUUAACACAAUUCAUUGACAAAUGGAGUUCAUAAGCUGAUGGAAGAUGUUAAAGAGAAUUAUGUCAGGUGUUGUGAUAACCUUUACCAAGUCUGAACGAUUGUCAACUACCAGAUAUGUUGGUCUAUAAUAUUCACUCCGACCCACAAGCACAUAUCAUUGAAUCCCAUGGGCUUCUAGGGUGGAGGUUUGGUUGAAGAUGACGUGAUGCAAGUGAAUGUCUGCGAAAAAGUUGUUGUAAUUCAACCAGGAGCAGUUUGCGGGAAGAACUCCUCAAGGUUUUCUCAAUAGAACAGUGAUAUGAAAUGAACAAAAAAGACUGGAAUAUAGAUAUAUGCAUAGUGUAUAGUACAUAUAUAUAAUGUAUGAGAAACUAAAAGGGAAGAACUAUGAAUCAAUAAAAUGGUGUUUGAUAAAGAUGUAUGAAUAGAAAUGUGGAGGAUGUGGAAGGUGAGCCCACCAGCUGAAGCUUUUACUACAAGUUGUAGUAGGUUAUUGUCAAAUGGGGAAUAAUGAUAGAAUGAGAGAGACAUAGUGGGUUACAUGUUUUGGGCUCAGAGUUAAUGGGAUCCAGGUUUUUAAUGUUAAUGGUGUAUGUGAGAACUUGGGAGGGUGGUAGUACCUACCAGAAUAACUAGUGAGAUGAGAAUUAUUGGAAGAUUGACUUUGUUGUUGGUUGUAUGUCAUGUGAUGCUUCCUCUUGUACAUGCUUUAUUUGUUUC
RNA transcript from Solanum tuberosum (potato), 1078 nucleotides. It is a transcript of the gene named UPF0434 protein Pmen_1615, with no coding region annotated. NCBI's taxonomy places the organism in Eukaryota, Viridiplantae, Streptophyta, Magnoliopsida, Solanales, Solanaceae. The record is from RefSeq and is a predicted model, not a curated record. The transcript has 4 exons.